GGCAGCAUGGCUCAGUGGAAAGAGCACGGGCUUUGGAGUCAGAGGUCAUGAGUUCAAAUCCCAGCUCUGCCA
This 72-nucleotide transfer RNA is filed under the name Ornithorhynchus anatinus (platypus). It matches the Rfam family "tRNA". From Rfam's summary of the family: Transfer RNA (tRNA) molecules are approximately 80 nucleotides in length. Their secondary structure includes four short double-helical elements and three loops (D, anti-codon, and T loops). The record is from Rfam by way of RNAcentral. Lineage: Eukaryota; Metazoa; Chordata; Mammalia; Monotremata; Ornithorhynchidae.